Molecule: ribosomal RNA, 330 nt
Filed under: uncultured bacterium
Lineage: Bacteria
Description: bacterial SSU rRNA
Rfam family: Bacterial small subunit ribosomal RNA
Source: RNAcentral
UUCGUAGGCGGUGUGGCAAGUUGGGAGUGAAAUCUCUGGGCUUAACUCAGAGGCUGCUUCCAAAACUGCUGUGCUGGAGUGUGGGAGAGGCGCGUGGAAUUGCAGGUGUAGCGGUGAAAUGCGUAGAUAUCUGCAGGAACACCCGUGGCGAAAGCGGCGCGCUGGACCACUACUGACGCUGAGGAACGAAAGCUAGGGGAGCAAACAGGAUUAGAUACCCUGGUAGUCCUAGCCCUAAACGAUCAGGACUUGGGGUGCCGCCCGUUCGGGCGUCGUCCUGGAGCUAACGCGUUAAGUCCUGCACCUGGGGAGUACGGUCGCAAGACUGAA